Molecule: ribosomal RNA, 749 nt
Filed under: uncultured bacterium
Lineage: Bacteria
Description: bacterial SSU rRNA
Rfam family: Bacterial small subunit ribosomal RNA
Source: RNAcentral
CUCUGAGAGUUUGAUCCUGGCUCAGGACGAACGCUGGCGGCGUGCUUAACACAUACAAGUCGAACGAUGAACCUGGAGCUUGCUCCAGGGGAUUAGUGGCGAACGGGUGAGUAACACGUGAGUAACCUGCCCUUGACUCUGGGAUAACCUCCGGAAACGGAAGCUAAUACCGGAUAUGACGCACGGAGGCAUCUCCUGUGCGUGGAAAGAACUUCGGUCAAGGAUGGACUCGCGGCCUAUCAGGUAGUUGGUGAGGUAACGGCUCACCAAGCCUACGACGGGUAGCCGGCCUGAGAGGGUGACCGGCCACACUGGGACUGAGACACGGCCCAGACUCCUACGGGAGGCAGCAGUGGGGAAUAUUGCACAAUGGGCGCAAGCCUGAUGCAGCAACGCCGCGUGAGGGAAGACGGCCUUCGGGUUGUAAACCUCUUUUAGUAGGGAAGAAGCGAAAGUGACGGUACCUGCAAAAAAAGCACCGGCUAACUACGUGCCAGCAGCCGCGGUAAUACGUAGGGUGCGAGCGUUGUCCGGAAUUAUUGGGCGUAAAGAGCUCGUAGGCGGUCUGUCGCGUCUGCUGUGAAAACCCGAGGCUCAACCUCGGGCCUGCAGUGGGUACGGGCAGACUAGAGUGCGGGUAGGGGAGAAUGGAAUUCCUGGUGUAGCGGUGGAAUGCGCAGAUAUCAGGAGGAACACCGAUGGCGAAGGCAGUUCUCUGGGCCGUAACUGACGCUGAGGAGCGAAAGCGU